AGUAUCCGGCACUACUUGUUGCCUCAUUUUGGCGGACAAGUAACAAUGUGUCCGGUGCGGACAAUCAGCAGGAAAGGCUUUGUGAAAAGGAGAUACAAAUGACUCUGGAUGUAAAAGCCAUUCCUCCUCGAAUAGGUUAUUAUCUUGCUGGUUUUGCUGAUGGGGAAGGAAGCUUCAAUGUUUCCUUCAGACCAAGAGAUGACUAUGCAAUUCCCUGGAAAGUUUCUCUCUGCUUCAAUAUUUCUCAAAAGGACAAAGUUAUCCUUACCCUCUUCAAGAAACACCUCAAUUGUGGAACGUUAAGAAGCAGGCCAGAUGGAGUUUGGUAUUAUGAGGUGAAUAAUUUCAGGGCUAUAGUUGAAAAUGUCAUCCCGUUUUUCGAUAGGUUCGGGUUCCUAUCAGCAAAAAAGAAGAGAGAUUUUUCCAAGUUCAAGAAGAUUGCUAGAAUGAUGCAGGAAAACCGUCAUCUGGAUAAAGAAGGUAUUCUCGAGAUCCUGGAAAUUAGAAAAGAGAUGAAUGACGGCGGCAAGAGAAAACACAGCGAGGCGGAAAUUAAAAAUCACCUUUUCAGUAAAGAAUCCUCAGAGACUAUACGUCAGGCUCUCCCAGAGAAAGAGGAGAGAUGAUAUAGUCCGUUCCCUUCAGCGAUGGAGGGCGCUCGGUAUAAACACUGAGCAGUAUCUCUAACAGAUACAACGUUAAGAACGGUCCUAAGGUUAGAAUAGCUAGCCUUAGUAAAAUCUGGCUAUAUGCUGGAAACCCUGUCCCCUUCAAAAGGGGUGAAGAACCCGCGCUACUCUAUAUGAGUAAAAAUGCGAUGGGUGCAGGCAAUCAGCAGGAAAGGCCGAAGCAAAUGUUUCGGAGUCCUCAGAGACUGUAUGCCAGACACUAAGAUGCAGUGAAGAUACAGUCCGAGCCGCAUGGCAACAUGCGGAGGCUGUCAGAAAUGGCAGCCCGCCUGGUUUAAUAUCAGGUCAUCAAAGUAACAGAGCUGAGCGAAAUUCCUUGUCGGGUAAGUACCUGAACUUGCCCCUUUCCCAAGCAAUUGGGCUUGAAACACCGGCUCAUAUCGGAGAAGCCCUCCUACCUCGUGAAGCGAGGUGUGGGGUAAUUCCGAGGGAACCUCUGGCCCCAAGGCCAUUGGACCCGUAACGACUGACCCGAAAGGGGAGGCGCACAGUCCUCUUGUGCGCAACACGCCGGCCCUCACGUUUGUUUGGUUCCUAUGGAGUCUUCCUUCAAAAAAGGAGGAGAGAUGCAAUUUGAUCCAUGGUAUGUCACUGGGUUAUGCGAUGGCGAAGCGAGUUUUAGUAUAAGCUUCAACCGACGCUCCAAGCUGAAAGUUGGUAUUGAAACGAGACCUUCAUUUUCAGUCACUUUAAAUGCUCGAGACCAGGAAUUGAUAAAAAGUCUAAGGGACUUUUUUAAAUGCGGAGCAAUAAGAUUUUCACGAAGCGAUGACACUUUUAAGUACGAGGUUCGGGCCAUUCGCGAUUUGACACACAAGAUAAUACCUCAUUUUCAGAAAUAUCCACUUCGUGGAAAUAAAGCCAGUGACUUUGACGCUUUUGCGAGAGUCGUUACUAUGGUUAGUGCUAAUCUCCAUCUUAAUAGAAGAGGCUUGAGAGAAAUUGUUGAGCUUGCGUUUGAAAUGAACAAGUCGGGAAAACGCAGGCUGACGAAGGAAGAAAUCCUAAGGGAACUUGUGAGGUGAAGGUAUAGUCUGCCUCUUGUGGAAACACAGGAAAAAAGGUGAAGUUCCGACCCGCACGAAAGGCGUAACGACAUGAGCGCUGUCUUAGAGAGGGGCACGGCGAAACUGUGGUACCGGUGAAGACGCCGGUUACCUGCCGCUGGACGGAAAGACCCCGGCACCUUAACUGCAGCCUAGCAUUGGAUUUUGGAACAUGAUGCGCAGAAUAGGUGGGAGGCUGUGAAGCCGCACCUCCGGGUGUGGUGGAGCCAUCAGUGAGAUACCACUCUUCAUGUUCUGAAGUUCUAACCUACUCCCCUUAGCGGGGAGGGGAACAGUGUUAGGUGGGUAGUUUGACUGGGGCGGUCGCCUCCUAAAAUGUAACGGAGGCGCCCUAAGGUUCCCUCAGGUUGUUUGGAAAUCAACCGUAGAGUGCAAAGGCAUAAGGGAGCUUGACUGUGAGACCGACGGGUCGAGCAGGUGCGAAAGCAGGGCUUAGUGAUCCGGUGGUCCCGUAUGGAAGGGCCAUCGCUCAACGGAUAAAAGGUACGCCGGGGAUAACAGGCUAAUAGUCUCCAAGAGCUCACAUCGACGAGACUGUUUGGCACCUCGAUGUCGGCUCAUCCCAUCCUGGGGCUGAAGCGGGUCCCAAGGGUCCGGCUGUUCGCCGGUUAAAGGGGUACGUGAGCUGGGUUUAGAACGUCGCGAGACAGUUCGGUCUCUAUCCACGGCAGGCGCAGGAGAUUUGAGGGGGGCUGUCCAUAGUACGAAAGGACCUGGAUGGACGAACCUCCGGUUUACCAGUUGUGCCGCCAGGCGCAGCGCUGGGUAGCUGUGUUCGGUAGCGAUAACCGCUGAAAGCAUAUAAGCGGGAAGCGCGCCCCAAGAUAAGAUCUCCCUCCCCGCAAGGGGCUAAAGGGCCCUCGUAGAUGACGAGGUUGAUAGGCUGGGUGUGUAAGCGCAGUGAUGCGUUGAGCUAACCAGUACUAAUAGCCCGUGAGGCUUGACC
RNAcentral lists this ribosomal RNA (2702 nucleotides) under activated sludge metagenome. RNAcentral's name for it is "bacterial LSU rRNA". The stretch from base 1825 to 2691 matches the Rfam family "Bacterial large subunit ribosomal RNA", at positions 2047 to 2912 of the family's 2925-position model. The record is from RNAcentral.